This 708-nucleotide ribosomal RNA is filed under the name Bacillus sp. 2Sp117. Its description in RNAcentral is "partial 16S ribosomal RNA". Lineage: Bacteria; Bacillati; Bacillota; Bacilli; Caryophanales; Bacillaceae. The record is from RNAcentral.
ACUYCAGCACUAARGGGCGGAAACCCCCUAACACUUAGCACUCAUCGUUUAGCGGCGUGGACUACCAGGGUAUCUAAUCCUGUUUGCUCCCCACGCUUUCGCGCCUCAKUGUCAGUUACAGACCAGAAAGUCGCCUUCGCCACUGGUGUUCCUCCAUAUCUCUACGCAUUUCACCGCUACACAUGGAAUUCCACUUUCCUCUUCUGCACUCAAGUCUCCCAGUUUCCAAUGACCCUCCACGGUUGAGCCGUGGGCUUUCACAUCAGACUUAAGAAACCACCUGCGCGCGCUUUACGCCCAAUAAUUCCGGAUAACGCUUGCCACCUACGUAUUACCGCGGCUGCUGGCACGUAGUUAGCCGUGGCUUUCUGGUUAGGUACCGUCAAGGUGCCAGCUUWUUCAACUAGWCACUUGUUCUUCCCUAACAACAGAGUUUUACGWCCCGAAAGCCUUCAUCACUCACGCGGCGUUGCUCCGUCAGACUUUCSYCCAUUGCGGAAGAUUCCCUACUGCUGCCUCCCGUAGAGUUCUGGGCCGUGUCUCAGUCCCAGUGUGGCCGAUCACCCUCUCAGGUCGGCUACGCAUCGUCGCCUUGGUGAGCCGUUACCUCACCAACUAGCUAAUGCGACGCGGGUCCAUCCAUAAGUDACAGCCGAAGCCSCCUUUCAAUUUCGMWCUAUGCAGUUCAAAAUWUUAUYCKGUAUUAGC